CCAGCAGCCGCGGUAAUUCCAGCUCCAAUAGCGUAUAUUAAAGUUGUUGCGUUUAAAAAGCUCGUAGUUGGAACUUUUGGGCUUGCAGCCGGUCCACCUAACAGUGCGUACUGGUUGUGGGCUCAACACUUUUUGGGCGCCAGCGUGUUCUUUACUGAGUGCGUUGGAUGUCCAAGACUUUUACUUUGAAAAAAUUAGAGUGUUCAAAGCAGGCUAGCGCUUGAAUACAUUAGCAUGGAAUAAUAGAAUAGGACCAUGGUUCUAUUUUGUUGGUUUGAAGGACCAAGGUAAUGAUUAAUAGGGACAGUUGGGGGUAUUAGUAUUUCAGGGCUAGAGGUGAAAUU
This 344-nucleotide ribosomal RNA is filed under the name uncultured eukaryote. Its description in RNAcentral is "SSU rRNA". It matches the Rfam family "Eukaryotic small subunit ribosomal RNA", at positions 567 to 918 of the family's 1831-position model. The record is from RNAcentral.